Molecule: long non-coding RNA, 1453 nt
Organism: Lutra lutra (Eurasian river otter)
Lineage: Eukaryota; Metazoa; Chordata; Mammalia; Carnivora; Mustelidae
Exons: 3
Source: RefSeq, a predicted model, not a curated record
ACCCCCAGAUGAUGCACCUCCUGGACUUAUCCUGCCCGGCUCUGCGUCUCUGGCCAGUGGGUCCGGUGUCACGUGCAUCUCGAGCGCCCGGGUGCCAGGCGUCGUGCUGGGCGCUAGCAGCCUGGGCACGGUCUUUCGACUCCGGCAGGAAAGGGAGACAUUAAACGAUGAGAUGAAUCAUAGCCUUGGCUUUGCCUGGUGUCCAGAAGGAAGAAAUUACCGAAGAUCUCAACAUUGCAGUUUUCAUGGAGUGAUCGUCACAAUUGGAAGGAACCUCGGAGAUCUCCUGGCUCCAGCUCUCUGUUUCUAGGGGCCACCCACAGGUGUCCGAGAGUGGCUCGAGUGACUGUCAGUGCUGAUGAUACAACGCCGCGUGCAAGCCGAGUCUUUGUGGCAAUGACCCAUCCUCGAGGGACAGAGGAAAGAUAAGCAGGAGCAAAUCAAGGAGGUGUCCAGCAACAACUCAGACGUCCUAUCGCUCAGACGACUGAGGCUGUAGAGAGCAGGAUGGGAACACUGAGGAAGGAGUCCCUGAUAAACCAGUGCAGUAAUUGGAAGUGUUUCUGAGGGUGGGAAGGAGGACUCGGGAGGCCUGGGGGGUGAGAUAAGGCAAGCCAUCAACAUGUCAAGGUAAUUUGCUAGCAGUUCUGACUUUGGGUCGAGGUGUAUAAACCUGCCGGCCGUGAUGUAUGAAGCCUGCUAACCCGAGGAAGCCGGGCCACAGAAGGACCAUUGCAAAGUGGAGGCUGCUUGGGACUGACAAGAGGGACCCCCACCCGUUCCUGUCAGUGUGACAUCUGUGCUGAUGAAGGCAGACCCUCAUGACCAAGUGGGUCGACAGCCCGCGGGUGGGCAUGGCCUCCAUCGAGGACAGCAUAGCGUUUCCCAGCUCUCCUUAAUCCUGCAAGUGGUCCUUAAGGACUGAUGUUCUCAAAAGCUGCAAAAUGGGUUGAAAUGCUUUUGGGAAACUUCAUCCGUACUGGCCAAAGGGAGGCUAAGUACCUCUCUGAACCCACACCGACUUUGCAUACCCCUCACUGUCUCCCUGAGCCCGCCCAGACUACGUACCCCUCCUCACUUUGUUACUCUACAACCUGACGCCAUCUGCUUCCCGCCGUCCUAAGCUCACACCUACAGCACACACCCCUCGACAUCUCGAUGAUUCCAUGUCCGCUGUGUGCUGAGCUCAGCCGAGAUCUCUAACCCAGCUCACUGACUUCAUAGCGAUUGUGGAUUGCUACGAAAGCACUAGGUUUUUCUCCCCUCAAUAUCUAUUUUUCCAUUCUGCCUCGAAGUAAACCCUGGCUCAUCUCCCAGCCUCCUUGCCCUUACAUUUGGUCACAAGCCAAGUCUGGCCAAUGGUAUUUAAACCAAAGUCAGGGGCGCCUGGGUGGCUCAGUCAGUUGAGCAUCUGCCUUCAGCUCAGGUGAUGAUUCCAGGGUCCUGGGAUCGA